GUCGGGAUAGCUCAGUUGGUAGAGCAGAGGACUGAAAUUCUCGUGU
Molecule: transfer RNA, 46 nt
Filed under: Orobanche cicerbitae
Lineage: Eukaryota; Viridiplantae; Streptophyta; Magnoliopsida; Lamiales; Orobanchaceae
Description: partial tRNA-Phe
Source: RNAcentral